ACCUGCUCUAUGAUUUAUAUUAAAUGGCCGCGAUAUUUUGAUCGUGCAAAGGUAGCAUAAUCAUUAGUUUCUUAAUUAGGAACUGGAAUGAAAGGUUGAACGAGAAAAAAACUGUCUCAAUUUAAUUUAAUUAGAAUUUUAUAUUUAAGUAAAAAAGCUUAAAUUUUUUUAAAAGACGAGAAGACCCUAUAGAGUUUUAUAUUAAAUUAAUUUUAAAAGUAAUUUAGAAUCAUUUUUUUUAUUUUUUGUUUAGUAUUUAGUUGGGGUGACUAAAAAAUUAAUAAAACUUUUUUUUAUUUUUUUCAUUUAUUUAUGUUUAAUUGAUCCAUUAAUUAUGAUUAAAAGAUUAAAUUA
This 354-nucleotide ribosomal RNA is filed under the name Helictopleurus dorbignyi. RNAcentral's name for it is "partial 16S ribosomal RNA". Lineage: Eukaryota; Metazoa; Arthropoda; Insecta; Coleoptera; Scarabaeidae. The record is from RNAcentral.